This 253-nucleotide ribosomal RNA is filed under the name uncultured bacterium. Its description in RNAcentral is "partial 16S ribosomal RNA". It matches the Rfam family "Bacterial small subunit ribosomal RNA", at positions 524 to 776 of the family's 1533-position model. The record is from RNAcentral.
GACGAGCUCUCCAAACGUUAUUCGGUAUCACUGGGCUUAAAGAGUUCGUAGGCGGCUUGACAGGUGAGGUGUGAAAGCCCACGGCCUAACCGUGGAAUUGCGCUUCAAACCGUCGGGCUAGAGGGAUGCAGGGGUAUGCGGAACAGAUGGUGAAGCGGUGAAAUGCGUUGAUAUCAUCUGGAACACCGGUGGCGAAAGCGGCAUACUGGGCAUUUUCUGACGCUGAGGAACGAAAGCUAGGGUAGCGAACGGG